RNAcentral lists this ribosomal RNA (849 nucleotides) under uncultured bacterium. RNAcentral describes it as "bacterial SSU rRNA". It matches the Rfam family "Bacterial small subunit ribosomal RNA", at positions 598 to 1460 of the family's 1533-position model. The record is from RNAcentral.
GAAUUUGCAGCUUACUGUAAAGUGCCGAUGAUACUGUGAGGCCUAGAAUUAGGUCGCUGUGGGCGGAAUGUGUGGUGUAGCGGUGAAAUGCUUAGAGAUCACACAGAAUAUCGAUUGCGAAGGCAGCUCACAAAGCCAAGAUUGACGCUGAGGCACGAAAGUGUGGGGAUCAAACAGGAUUAGAUAUCGUGGUAGUCCACACUGUAAACGAUGAUAACUCGCUGUCGGCGAUAUACAGUCGGUGGCCAAGCGAAAGCGAUAAGUUAUCCACCUGGGGAGUACGACCGCAAGGUUGAAACUCAAAGGAAUUGACGGGGGCCCGCACAAGCGGAGGAACAUGUGGUUUAAUUCGAUGAUACGCGAGGAACCUUACCCGGGCUCGAACGGUGCAGGAAUAUGGUAGAGAUAUCAUAGCUAGCAAUAGUCUGUAUCGAGGUGCUGCAUGGUUGUCGUCAGCUCGUGCCGUGAGGUGUCGGCUUAAGUGCCAUAACGAGCGCAACCCUUGUCAUUAGUUACCAUCAGGUCAAGCUGGGGACUCUAAUGAGACUGCCACCGUAAGGUGAGAGGAAGGGGGGGAUGACGUCAAAUCAGCACGGCCCUUAUGUCCGGGGCGACACACGUGUUACAAUGGGGGGUACAGAGGGCAGCCAUCCGGCGACGGAGCGCCAAUCUCAAAAACCCUUCUCAGUUCGGAUUGGAGUCUGCAACCCGACUCCAUGAAGUUGGAUUCGCUAGUAAUCGCGCAUCAGCCAUGGCGCGGUGAAUACGUUCCCGGGCCUUGUACACACCGCCCGUCAAGCCAUGGAAGCUUGGGGUGCCUGAAGUUCGUGACCGCAAGGAGCGACCUAG